GGGGCCGUGGCAGAGCGGCCCAUUGCGAUCGGUGCGGGCGAGGCCCCGCUCACGCCGACUGACGGGGAACGGGCGGGUCUGCCCCUCCCUGUCCGCGGGUUCGAAUCCCGUCGGCCCCG
This 119-nucleotide transfer RNA is filed under the name Streptomyces flavovirens. RNAcentral describes it as "tRNA-OTHER". Lineage: Bacteria; Bacillati; Actinomycetota; Actinomycetes; Kitasatosporales; Streptomycetaceae. RNAcentral also lists the same sequence under 8 other names. The record is from RNAcentral.